RNAcentral lists this ribosomal RNA (485 nucleotides) under uncultured bacterium. RNAcentral describes it as "bacterial SSU rRNA". It matches the Rfam family "Bacterial small subunit ribosomal RNA", at positions 28 to 507 of the family's 1533-position model. The record is from RNAcentral.
GAUGAACGCUAGCGGCAGGCUUAACACAUGCAAGUCGAGGGGCAGCACGGGUAGCAAUACCUGGUGGCGACCGGCGCAAGGGUGCGUAACGCGUGAGCAACAUGCCCUAUACAGGGGGAUAAUCCAGGGAAACUUGGUCUAAUAUCCCAUAGUAUUUAGAGGAGGCAUCUUCUAUAAAUUAAAGCUUCGGUGGUAUAGGAUUGGCUCGCGUGACAUUAGCUAGAUGGUGAGGUAACGGCUCACCAUGGCAAUGAUGUCUAGGGGUUCUGAGAGGAAGGCCCCCCACACUGGGACUGAGACACGGCCCAGACUCCUACGGGAGGCAGCAGUGAGGAAUAUUGGUCAAUGGGCGCAAGCCUGAACCAGCCAUCCCGCGUGCAGGAAGACGGCCCUAUGGGUUGUAAACUGCUUUUCCAGGGAGAGAAACUUACGCACGUGUUGCGUGACUGACGGUACCCUGGGAAUAAGCAUCGGCUAACUCCGUG